GCGUGGCGAUGAUGAUAGAGAUGGUAACUGCAAAGGUAUUUUCACUAGCUCUAAACCAUUUGUCAAAGGACAUACUCAGCAACUGUGAAGUCAUUGCUGUCAACCAAGGUAGUGUAGACGUCCAAGGAAAGAAAGUGCCAAUUAUAGGUUUGGGUUGGGCCGCUCAGCAACAGCAGGAAGGUUGUGGUUCUCUGGAACCGGCAGGGUUACCAGGCAACCAUCACUGCGCAAUGGUCAAACAUUGGGCUUGCUUUGUCCACUGUUGUCACUGCUCGUGAUAUUUGGGCGGUAAGCUUUGCUUUCUUCAGAUCCCAUACUGGACAUUAUAAUCAAGUAUGAAGGUUGAUGGUUCAGAUAUCAGAUUUCAUAUUCCAUUUCUUGUGCAUUUUUGCAACACUCGUCCUUCUUGGCCCAGGGCCAAUUAUCAGCUUCAGUGGCACAUCAUGAUAGCAAGAUGUAUGUCCUGACCCAAAGUAACUUUUAGCAGAGAACUGCAAGAUGUAUGUCAUGAAAUUUGAUGUAGUUGGUGACUAGCUGCUGUUGAAGCAGGCAACUAAAAUGAGAAAAGGUCCAUUAUGGUUUCUGCCUCAA
Long non-coding RNA from Panicum virgatum (switchgrass), 591 nucleotides. RefSeq lists it as uncharacterized. The record is from RefSeq and is a predicted model, not a curated record. Lineage: Eukaryota; Viridiplantae; Streptophyta; Magnoliopsida; Poales; Poaceae. The transcript is spliced from 2 exons.